CGAAAGCCUGACGGAGCAACGCCGCGUGCGGGAGGACGGCCUGUGGGUUGUAAACCGCUUUUCUCGGGGAAGAAGGUCUGACGGUACCUGAGGAAUCAGCAUCGGCUAACUCCGUGCCAGCAGCCGCGGUAAUACGGAGGAUGCAAGCGUUAUCCGGAAUUAUUGGGCGUAAAGCGUCCGCAGGCGGUGUGUCAAGUCUGCCGUUAAAGGCCGGGGCUCAACUCCGGUUGAGCGGUGGAAACUGACAGACUAGAGUGCGGUAGGGGUAGAGGGAAUUCCCAGUGUAGCGGUGAAAUGCGUAGAUAUUGGGAAGAACACCAGUGGCGAAGGCGCUCUACUGGGCCGCAACUGACGCUGAGGGACGAAAGCUAGGGGAGCG
Molecule: ribosomal RNA, 379 nt
Filed under: uncultured cyanobacterium
Lineage: Bacteria; Bacillati; Cyanobacteriota
Description: bacterial SSU rRNA
Rfam family: Bacterial small subunit ribosomal RNA
Source: RNAcentral